UACGGAGGGUGCAAGCGUUAAUCGGAAUUACUGGGCGUAAAGCGUGCGCAGGCGGUUUGUUAAGUCCGCUGUGAAAUCCCCGAGCUCAACUUGGGAAUUGCAGUGGAUACUGGCAAGCUGGAGUAUGGUAGAGGAAGGUGGAAUUCCCGGUGUAGCAGUGAAAUGCGUAGAGAUCGGGAGGAACACCAGUGGCGAAGGCGGCCUUCUGGACCAAUACUGACGCUGAUGCACGAAAGCGUGGGGAGCAAACAGG
Molecule: ribosomal RNA, 253 nt
Filed under: uncultured bacterium
Lineage: Bacteria
Description: partial 16S ribosomal RNA
Rfam family: Bacterial small subunit ribosomal RNA
Source: RNAcentral